RNAcentral lists this ribosomal RNA (680 nucleotides) under uncultured Agromyces sp. RNAcentral's name for it is "partial 16S ribosomal RNA". The record is from RNAcentral. Lineage: Bacteria; Bacillati; Actinomycetota; Actinomycetes; Micrococcales; Microbacteriaceae.
GUGUCCAAAGAGUUGACCAUUUCUGGCCCGUUCUCGUGUAUGUCAAGCCUUGGUAAGGUUCUUCGCGUUGCAUCGAAUUAAUCCGCAUGCUCCGCCGCUUGUGCGGGCCCCCGUCAAUUCCUUUGAGUUUUAGCCUUGCGGCCGUACUCCCCAGGCGGGGCGCUUAAUGCGUUAGCUACGACACGGAAACCGUGGAAAGGUCCCACAUCUAGCGCCCAACGUUUACGGCGUGGACUACCAGGGUAUCUAAUCCUGUUCGCUCCCCACGCUUUUCGCUCCUCAGCGUCAGUAAGUGCCCAGAGACCUGCCUUCGCCAUCGGUGUUCCUCCUGAUAUCUGCAGCAUUCCACCGCUACACCAGGAAUUCCAGUCUCCCCUACACCACUCAAGUCUGCCCGUACCCACUGCAGGCUAGAGGUUGAGCCUCUAGUUUUCACAGCAGACGCGACAAACCGCCUACGAGCUCUUUACGCCCAAUAAUUCCGGACAACGCUCGGACCCUACGUAUUACCGCGGCUGCUGGCACGUAGUUAGCCGGUCCUUUUUCUGCAGGUACCGUCACCCGAAGGCUUCUUCCCUACUAAAAGCGGUUUACAACCCGAAGGCCGUCAUCCCGCACGCGGCGUUGCUGCAUCAGGCUUGCGCCCAUUGUGCAAUAUUCCCCACUGCUGCCUCCCGUAG